UACGGGGGGGGCAAGCGUUGUUCGGAAUUACUGGGCGUAAAGGGCUCGUAGGCGGCCCUCUCAGUCGGAUGUGAAAUCCCCAGGCUUAACCUGGGAACUGCAUUCGAGACUGCAUUGCUAGAGUAUGGGAGAGGGAAGUGGAAUUUCAGGUGUAGCGGUGAAAUGCGUAGAUAUCUGAAGGAACAUCAGUGGCGAAAGCGACUUCCUGGACCAAUACUGACGCUCAUGUGCGAAAGCGUGGGGAGCAAACAGG
RNAcentral lists this ribosomal RNA (253 nucleotides) under uncultured bacterium. RNAcentral's name for it is "partial 16S ribosomal RNA". It matches the Rfam family "Bacterial small subunit ribosomal RNA", at positions 524 to 776 of the family's 1533-position model. The record is from RNAcentral.